RNAcentral lists this ribosomal RNA (1372 nucleotides) under uncultured bacterium. Its description in RNAcentral is "bacterial SSU rRNA". It matches the Rfam family "Bacterial small subunit ribosomal RNA", at positions 28 to 1381 of the family's 1533-position model. The record is from RNAcentral.
GAUGAACGCUGGCGGCGUGCCUAAUACAUGCAAGUCGAGCGAACGGACGAGAAGCUUGCUUUUCUGAUGUUAGCGGCGGACGGGUGAGUAACACGUGGAUAACCUACCUAUAAGACUGGGAUAACUUCGGGAAACCGGAGCUAAUACCGGAUAAUAUUUUGAACCGCAUGGUUCAAAAGUGAAAGACGGUCUUGCUGUCACUUAUAGAUGGAUCCGCGCUGCAUUAGCUAGUUGGUAAGGUAACGGCUUACCAAGGCAACGAUGCAUAGCCGACCUGAGAGGGUGAUCGGCCACACUGGAACUGAGACACGGUCCAGACUCCUACGGGAGGCAGCAGUAGGGAAUCUUCCGCAAUGGGCGAAAGCCUGACGGAGCAACGCCGCGUGAGUGAUGAAGGUCUUCGGAUCGUAAAACUCUGUUAUUAGGGAAGAACAUAUGUGUAAGUAACUGUGCACAUCUUGACGGUACCUAAUCAGAAAGCCACGGCUAACUACGUGCCAGCAGCCGCGGUAAUACGUAGGUGGCAAGCGUUAUCCGGAAUUAUUGGGCGUAAAGCGCGCGUAGGCGGUUUUUUAAGUCUGAUGUGAAAGCCCACGGCUCAACCGUGGAGGGUCAUUGGAAACUGGAAAACUUGAGUGCAGAAGAGGAAAGUGGAAUUCCAUGUGUAGCGGUGAAAUGCGCAGAGAUGUGGAGGAACACCAGUGGCGAAGGCGACUUUCUGGUCUGUAACUGACGCUGAUGUGCGAAAGCGUGGGGAUCAAACAGGAUUAGAUACCCUGGUAGUCCACGCCGUAAACGAUGAGUGCUAAGUGUUAGGGGGUUUCCGCCCCUUAGUGCUGCAGCUAACGCAUUAAGCACUCCGCCUGGGGAGUACGACCGCAAGGUUGAAACUCAAAGGAAUUGACGGGGGCCCGCACAAGCGGUGGAGCAUGUGGUUUAAUUCGAAGCAACGCGAAGAACCUUACCAAAUCUUGACAUCCUUUGACAACUCUAGAGAUAGAGCCUUCCCCUUCGGGGGACAAAGUGACAGGUGGUGCAUGGUUGUCGUCAGCUCGUGUCGUGAGAUGUUGGGUUAAGUCCCGCAACGAGCGCAACCCUUAAGCUUAGUUGCCAUCAUUAAGUUGGGCACUCUGAGUUGACUGCCGGUGACAAACCGGAGGAAGGUGGGGAUGACGUCAAAUCAUCAUGCCCCUUAUGAUUUGGGCUACACACGUGCUACAAUGGACAAUACAAAGGGCAGCGAAACCGCGAGGUCAAGCAAAUCCCAUAAAGUUGUUCUCAGUUCGGAUUGUAGUCUGCAACUCGACUACAUGAAGCUGGAAUCGCUAGUAAUCGUAGAUCAGCAUGCUACGGUGAAUACGUUCCCGGGUCU